This 253-nucleotide ribosomal RNA is filed under the name uncultured bacterium. RNAcentral describes it as "partial 16S ribosomal RNA". It matches the Rfam family "Bacterial small subunit ribosomal RNA", at positions 524 to 776 of the family's 1533-position model. The record is from RNAcentral.
UACGUAGGGGGCAAGCGUUGUCCGGAAUCAUUGGGCGUAAAGAGCGUGUAGGCGGCCCGGUAAGUCCGCUGUAAAAGUCAAAGGCUCAACCUUUGAAUGUCAGUGGAUACUGCCGGGCUAGAGUCCGGAAGAGGCGAGUGGAACUCCUGGUGUAGCGGUGGAAUGCGCAGAUAUCAGGAAGAACACCAACGGCGAAGGCAGCUCGCUGGAACGGUACUGACGCUGAGGCGCGAAAGCGUGGGGAGCAAACAGG